Long non-coding RNA from Dermochelys coriacea (leatherback sea turtle), 351 nucleotides. RefSeq lists it as uncharacterized. The transcript is spliced from 3 exons. The record is from RefSeq and is a predicted model, not a curated record. NCBI's taxonomy places the organism in Eukaryota, Metazoa, Chordata, Testudines, Dermochelyidae.
GGCCAGCUUAUAGCAUAGAAAAGGAAAGAAAUCCCAUUUUCUGACCAUUUUCUCUAACUGGAAGCUCUUUGGAGGCAGGGACUGUCUUUUCCUCAGUGUGUGUACAGCACCUAGCACAAUGGACCCUUGCUCCUAAGAGGGACCUUUGGGUCUAAAGUAAUACAAAUGAAUAACAAUGGUACUCGGCAUGUCUUUGAAGACUGGAAAUGCGCGCUUGCUGCAGGGCCUUGCACACUGUGUGUUCAGUAGAAGCAGCAUUCACAGGAGUACAUGGAUCAGAGGAGCUAUUGUCCAGCAGAUCCCCUACAGAAGAACAAGAAAGGAGGCAGCCAAGGCCCAUCCUUACCGAGC